RNAcentral lists this ribosomal RNA (752 nucleotides) under uncultured bacterium. Its description in RNAcentral is "bacterial SSU rRNA". It matches the Rfam family "Bacterial small subunit ribosomal RNA", at positions 8 to 796 of the family's 1533-position model. The record is from RNAcentral.
AGAGUUUGAUCAUGGCUCAGAACGAACGCUGGCGGCAUGCCUAACACAUGCAAGUCGAACGAGGUUUCCACUUCGGUGGUUUCCUAGUGGCGCACGGGUGAGUAACGCGUGGGAACCUGCCCUGUGGUACGGAAUAACUCCGGGAAACUGGAGCUAAUACCGUAUGUGUCCUUUGGGACAAAGAUCCAUCGCCAUGGGAUGGGCCCGCGUAGGAUUAGCUUGUUGGUGGGGUAACGGCCCACCAAGGCUACGAUCCUUAGCUGGUCUGAGAGGAUGAUCAGCCACACUGGGACUGAGACACGGCCCAGACUCCUACGGGAGGCAGCAGUGGGGAAUAUUGGACAAUGGGCGCAAGCCUGAUCCAGCAAUGCCGCGUGAGUGAUGAAGGCCUUCGGGUUGUAAAGCUCUUUCGCACGCGACGAUGAUGACGGUAGCGUGAGAAGAAGCCCCGGCUAACUUCGUGCCAGCAGCCGCGGUAAUACGAAGGGGGCUAGCGUUAUUCGGAAUUACUGGGCGUAAAGGGCGCGUAGGCGGUGUGUCAAGUCAGGCGUGAAAGCCCCGGGCUCAACCUGGGAACCGCGCUUGAGACUGGCACGCUCGAGUUCGGGAGAGGAUGGUGGAAUUCCCAGUGUAGAGGUGAAAUUCGUAGAUAUUGGGAAGAACACCGAUGGCGAAGGCAGCCAUCUGGACCGACACUGACGCUGAGGCGCGAAAGCGUGGGGAGCAAACAGGAUUAGAUACCCUAGUAGUCC